AACGAACGCUGGCGGCAUGCCUAACACAUGCAAGUCGAACGAGACCUUCGGGUCUAGUGGCGCACGGGUGCGUAACGCGUGGGAAUCUGCCCUUCGGUUGGGAAUAACUGAGAGAAAUUUCAGCUAAUACCUUAUAAUGUCUUCGGACCAAAGAUUUAUCGCCGAGGGAUGAGCCCGCGUAGGAUUAGGUAGUUGGUGGGGUAAUGGCCCACCAAGCCGACGAUCCUUAGCUGGUCUGAGAGGAUGGUCAGCCACACUGGGACUGAGACACGGCCCAGACUCCUACGGGAGGCAGCAGUGGGGAAUAUUGGACAAUGGGCGAAAGCCUGAUCCAGCAAUGCCGCGUGAGUGAUGAAGGCCUUAGGGUUGUAAAGCUCUUUUACCCGGGAUGAUAAUGACAGUACCGGGAGAAUAAGCUCCGGCUAACUCCGUG
This 433-nucleotide ribosomal RNA is filed under the name uncultured bacterium. RNAcentral's name for it is "partial 16S ribosomal RNA". It matches the Rfam family "Bacterial small subunit ribosomal RNA", at positions 29 to 507 of the family's 1533-position model. The record is from RNAcentral.